RNAcentral lists this long non-coding RNA (288 nucleotides) under Capsella grandiflora. RNAcentral's name for it is "long non-coding RNA (CGRA_LNC000076)". The record is from RNAcentral. Lineage: Eukaryota; Viridiplantae; Streptophyta; Magnoliopsida; Brassicales; Brassicaceae.
GUUGUGGUGGCGGUGGAGAACUGUAAUGGACUGUCGGUGGAGGAGGAGGUGAGUACUCUAUGCAAGGAGGAGGUGGUGGUGGUUCGAUACAUGGAGGUGGGGGAGGUGGUGAGUAAUGUGGAGGCGGUGGUGGGGAAUGUGGUGGUGGUGGAGAAUAAUGUGGUGGAGGUGGGGAUGAGUAUGUAUAAGUUGGUGGUGGUGGUGAGUGAUGCGGCGGUGGGGGUGAGUUGUAGUGGUAAGGUGGAGGAGGAGGUGAGUGAUGGGGUGGUGGUGGUGAGCUGUAGUGGU